GACGAACGCUGGCGGCGUGCUUAACACAUGCAAGUCGAGCGGUAAGGCCCUUUCGGGGGUACACGAGCGGCGAACGGGUGAGUAACGCGUGGGUGACCUGCCCUUAGCUCUGGGAUAAGCCUGGGAAACUGGGUCUAAUACCGGAUAUGACUCCAUAACGCAUGUUGUGGGGUGGAAAGCCUUGUGCGGCUAGGGAUGGGCCCGCGGCCUAUCAGCUUGUUGGUGGGGUGAUGGCCUACCAAGGCGACGACGGGUAGCCGGCCUGAGAGGGCGACCGGCCACACUGGGACUGAGACACGGCCCAGACUCCUACGGGAGGCAGCAGUGGGGAAUCUUGCGCAAUGGGCGAAAGCCUGACGCAGCGACGCCGCGU
Molecule: ribosomal RNA, 373 nt
Filed under: uncultured bacterium
Lineage: Bacteria
Description: bacterial SSU rRNA
Rfam family: Bacterial small subunit ribosomal RNA
Source: RNAcentral